GGGGAUGAAAGGUAUCGACGGAAGAAGUUAGCCCCGGAUUGCGAGCCGAGAGGCGCCGUUCUCGUAAAAUCAGCGCAAAACUUUAAGUGCCAACCGCACUGACUAUGCUGCUCUUCCCCUCGCUGCAUAAGCCAGGGUAAGACAGACGAUUGCCCUCAGAAGCAAUCUCGUUCACCUCUUUCAAUCUCCUGCUGGGAGAGAAUGAACGUCAGAAAGCAGGAGUGCAUCCGGAUGACGCCGCUGCUCCGGUUCAAGUGGGGCUUUCGGGUCCCAGCGGCUAAUCAGAUGAAACUCUGGGCAGUUGUAGUCCAUCUGAUAAAAAUGAACAACUGCCUACGCUCGUAGAAGUCCGAGCGGUUGAUUCUUUCGGACGCGGGUUCGAUUCCCGCCAUCUCCACCU
Molecule: transfer-messenger RNA, 400 nt
Filed under: Anaerolineales bacterium
Lineage: Bacteria; Bacillati; Chloroflexota; Anaerolineae; Anaerolineales
Rfam family: transfer-messenger RNA
About the family: Bacterial tmRNA, also known as 10Sa RNA or SsrA, is named for its dual tRNA and mRNA-like properties.
Source: RNAcentral